UAGGGAAUCUUCCACAAUGGACGCAAGUCUGAUGGAGCAACGCCGCGUGAGUGAAGAAGGUUUUCGGACCGUAAAGCUCUGUUGUUGGUGAAGAAGGAUAGAGGUAGUAACUGGCCUUUAUUUGACGGUAAUCAACCAGAAAGUCACGGCUAACUACGUGCCAGCAGCCGCGGUAAUACGUAGGUGGCAAGCGUUGUCCGGAUUUAUUGGGCGUAAAGCGAGCGCAGGCGGAAGAAUAAGUCUGAUGUGAAAGCCCUCGGCUUAACCGAGGAAUUGCAUCGGAAACUGUUUUCUUGAGUGCAGAAGAGGAGAGUAGAACUCCAUGUGUAGCGGUGGAAUGCGUAGAUAUAUGGAAGAAUUCCAGUGGCGAAGGCGGCUCUCUGGUCUGCAACUGACGCUGAGGCUCGAAAGCAUGGGUAGCGAACAGGAUUAGAUACCCUGGUAGUCCAUGCCGUAAACGAUGAGUGCUAAGUGUUGGGAGGCUUCCGCCUCUCAGUGCUGCAGCUAACGCAUUAAGCACUCCGCCUGGGGGAGUACGACCGCAAGGUUGAAAC
Molecule: ribosomal RNA, 554 nt
Filed under: uncultured bacterium
Lineage: Bacteria
Description: partial 16S ribosomal RNA
Rfam family: Bacterial small subunit ribosomal RNA
Source: RNAcentral